GCCAUCAGGUUAAGCUGGGGACUCUAAAGGAACUGCCUACGCAAGUAGUGAGGAAGCGGGGAUGACGUCAAAUCAGCACGGCCUUACGUCCAGGGCUACACACGUGCUACAAUGGCCGAUACAGAGGGCAGCUACCUGGUGACAGGAUGCAAAUCUCCAAAGUCGGUCUCAGUUCGGAUCGGAGUCUGCAACCCGACUCCGUGAAGUUGGAUUCGCUAGUAAUCGCGCAUCAGCCAUGGCGCGGUGAAUACGUUCCCGGGCCUU
Molecule: ribosomal RNA, 264 nt
Filed under: uncultured Sphingobacteriales bacterium
Lineage: Bacteria; Pseudomonadati; Bacteroidota; Sphingobacteriia; Sphingobacteriales
Description: partial 16S ribosomal RNA
Rfam family: Bacterial small subunit ribosomal RNA
Source: RNAcentral